Molecule: ribosomal RNA, 440 nt
Filed under: uncultured bacterium
Lineage: Bacteria
Description: partial 16S ribosomal RNA
Rfam family: Bacterial small subunit ribosomal RNA
Source: RNAcentral
CCUACGGGAGGCAGCAGUGGGGGAUAUUGCACAAUGGGGGAAACCCUGAUGCAGCGACGCCGCGUGAGUGAAGAAGUAUUUCGGUAUGUAAAGCUCUAUCAGCAGGGAAGAAAAUGACAGUACCUGACCAAGAAGCCCCGGCUAACUACGUGCCAGCAGCCGCGGUAAUACGUAGGGGGCAAGCGUUAUCCGGAUUUACUGGGUGUAAAGGGAGCGUAGACGGUUAUGUAAGUCUGGAGUGAAAGUCUGGGGCUCAACCCCGGGACUGCUUUGGAUACUGUGUGACUUGAGUACAGGAGGGGCAGGCGGAAUUCCUGGUGUAGCGGUGAAAUGCGUAGAUAUCAGGAGGAACACCGGCGGCGAAGGCGGCCUGCUGGACUGAAACUGACGUUGAGGCUCGAAAGCGUGGGGAGCAAACAGGAUUAGAUACCCGAGUAGUC